Molecule: ribosomal RNA, 598 nt
Filed under: uncultured bacterium
Lineage: Bacteria
Description: bacterial SSU rRNA
Rfam family: Bacterial small subunit ribosomal RNA
Source: RNAcentral
CCUACGGGAGGCAGCAGUGGGGAAUCUUGCGCAAUGGGCGAAAGCCUGACGCAGCCAUGCCGCGUGAAUGAUGAAGGUCUUAGGAUUGUAAAAUUCUUUCACCGGGGACGAUAAUGACGGUACCCGGAGAAGAAGCCCCGGCUAACUUCGUGCCAGCAGCCGCGGUAAUACGAAGGGGGCUAGCGUUGCUCGGAAUUACUGGGCGUAAAGGGAGCGUAGGCGGAUAGUUUAGUCAGAGGUGAAAGCCCAGGGCUCAACCUUGGAAUUGCCUUUGAUACUGGCUAUCUUGAGUUUGGGAGAGGUGAGUGGAACUCCGAGUGUAGAGGUGAAAUUCGUAGAUAUUCGGAAGAACACCAGUGGCGAAGGCGACUCACUGGCCCAAUACUGACGCUGAGGCUCGAAAGCGUGGGGAGCAAACAGGAUUAGAUACCCUGGUAGUCCACGCCGUAAACGAUGAGUGCUAGUUGUCGGCAUGCAUGCAUGUCGGUGACGCAGCUAACGCAUUAAGCACUCCGCCUGGGGAGUACGGUCGCAAGAUUAAAACUCAAAUUGAAAUUGACGGCUGGNGACGNGCGACGGACGACGACGAGGGAGGAGG